GUUCGCCGGACGGCCUUUUGACAUAAUUGACGGUUGUUUUUACUUAGCUAUUGGGUGUAGUUGUUGUUCAUUUAAUAAAGAUUUUUGAUAUUAUAAACGAAUUGUUCAUAUUUUAUGCCCGAAGUUAACACAAAUGGCAGUACAGCAGAUCAUUCAAUACAUGCUGAGACAUGAAUUCACAUUUCUACCACUAUGCUAAAUAUCAAUAUCCUACGUUGAAAAUGUACUAGACGAUACUGCUAAUAAUAAUGGUUUUGUGCAACGUGCGUGUAAUGGAUGGCAGUAUAGCAGAUCAUUCAAUACAUGCUGACACAUGAAUUCACAUUUCUACCACUACGCUAAAUAUCAACAUCCUACGUUGAAAAUGUACUAGACGACACUGCUAAUAAUAAUGGUUUUGUGCAACGUGCGUGUAAUGGAUGGCAGUAUAGCAGAUCACUCGAGGCAUGCUGAGACCAUGAAUUAACAUUUCUAUCACUUGGGAAAGUUACAACAUCUUCCGUUGAAAAUGGAAUAGAAG
This is a long non-coding RNA of Rhopalosiphum padi (bird cherry-oat aphid), 520 nucleotides long. RefSeq lists it as uncharacterized. The record is from RefSeq and is a predicted model, not a curated record. The transcript is spliced from 4 exons. NCBI's taxonomy places the organism in Eukaryota, Metazoa, Arthropoda, Insecta, Hemiptera, Aphididae.